Pelobates cultripes (western spadefoot toad) is the source of this 216-nucleotide non-coding RNA. Lineage: Eukaryota; Metazoa; Chordata; Amphibia; Anura; Pelobatidae. The record is from the annotation of a GenBank genome assembly.
ACCGAACAAUCUACCGAACAACUAGACCACCUGUAUGUGGAGUAGGCCACUCAUUAAUGGAUAUAUACACAAAAGUUGUGGAAUAGGUGGCCUUAUAUAGUUUAAACGUGUAAGUUGUAAAGUGGAUUUUAGCUGCUGUAUACACACAUAGAUAAUCAUCAAGAAACAAAUAAAAACUUUAGGCUUUACAGGUGUUACCACCUUCUAAGCCUUCAG